Molecule: small nuclear RNA, 21 nt
Filed under: Arabidopsis thaliana (thale cress)
Lineage: Eukaryota; Viridiplantae; Streptophyta; Magnoliopsida; Brassicales; Brassicaceae
Description: snRNA_10372
Source: RNAcentral
UAGGAGCUUAGGCUCCCAAAG